RNAcentral lists this ribosomal RNA (494 nucleotides) under uncultured bacterium. RNAcentral describes it as "bacterial SSU rRNA". It matches the Rfam family "Bacterial small subunit ribosomal RNA", at positions 17 to 507 of the family's 1533-position model. The record is from RNAcentral.
UCCUGGCUCAGGAUGAACGCUAGCGGCAGGCUUAAUACAUGCAAGUCGAGGGCAGCACGAAUAGCAAUAUUUGGUGGCGACCGGCGCACGGGUGCGUAACACGUAUACAACCUACCUAUAACAGGGGGAUAGCCUUUCGAAAGAGAGAUUAAUACCCCGUAAUAAAUUGAGUGGCAUCACUUGAUUUUGAAAGCUACGGCGGUUAUAGAUGGGUAUGCGUCUGAUUAGCUAGUUGGUGAGGUAACGGCUCACCAAGGCGACGAUCAGUAGGGGAUCUGAGAGGACUAACCCCCACACUGGUACUGAGACACGGACCAGACUCCUACGGGAGGCAGCAGUAAGGAAUAUUGGUCAAUGGAGGCAACUCUGAACCCAGCCAUGCCGCGUGCAGGAUGACGGCCCUAUGGGUUGUAAACUGCUUUUGUACCAGAGAAAACCUACUCACGUGUGAGUAGCUGAUAGUAUGGUAAGAAUAAGCAUCGGCUAACUUCGUG